Molecule: non-coding RNA, 1722 nt
Organism: Phalacrocorax carbo (great cormorant)
Lineage: Eukaryota; Metazoa; Chordata; Aves; Suliformes; Phalacrocoracidae
Source: RefSeq, a predicted model, not a curated record
UUUGAGGGACCUCAUUUGGGGUCAGGAGAAAAAACUGGUUUUCCUCCUCCCCGCAGCCUUUUACUGGAGACAUUUAAAGGCAAGGCAGAGCUUUCACUCUCCAUCCCAGAAGCCCUUGAAGAUGCAGAGCUGGAAGGACGCGUAGAGGGGAGUUGCGUCCCCUCGCUGACUGAUGCACCGUGACACGGGGUGUAGAGGAGAUUCAGCACUUUGUCACUUCGGCAGUUGGCAACAGAUGCGUUUUGUGAUACGAGCAGCAAAUUUGCACCUUGCGUGGCUCUGAAAACUUCCGUUUCCUUUGCCGCCGUAACGAACCGGGGACGCAGAGGAUCAAGCACGCAAAGGAAUUUCAGGGAAAAGUUUUUUAACAAACCUUCCUCCAGCUCAAGGUCAGACCCUGCCACGUGCAUAUACCGUGUUUUACAUUCAGACUCGCACAGAUUUCUGUUAUUAAGAGAAGAAAUUUAUCCUCGGUGCCUGAACUCCCUAAAAUGUGGUAAGUAGUAACCCCCGAAAGCAGAGCCGCUGGGCGCAGUCCCGGGAGGCGCUGACGUGAUUCCCGCUGACGGCGGGGCAGUAGGUAUGACCUGCUACCGCCGGAUCCGCGGGCAGCUUGGAGAGAGUUAACUAUCGGCUAUAUUAUCAGUGUUACCUGCAGACAAUUAACGAUCAGCUCUGUUACCCGUGCUAUUUGCACUGGAACGGCCACGAUACCCACCAGAAGCUCAUGUAUUUUGUUCCCACCACAUGCAAACACACUGUUAUGCCCAUUUCUGCCCUCCCGACCCCCAUAGCCACAGUUUUUCCUUUUUUCAUUUGCCAUCAAGCCAUUCCUAUAUUUCCUGUGUUCUGGGAGACCUUAUUGCGCCUUCCAGUGCUUCAAGGGGACUAUAGGAAGGAUGGGGGUGACCCCUUUAGCAAGGCCUGCUGUGGCAGGACAAGGGGUGAUGGUUUAAACUAAAGGAGGGGAGAUUUAGACUGGGUAUAAGGAAAAAUUUUUCUCGAUGAGGGUGGUGAAACCCUGGCCCAGGUUGCCCCGAGAGGUGGUCGAUGCCGCAUCCCUGGAAACAUUCAAGGCCAGGCUGGACGGGGCUCUGGGUGACCUGGUCUGGUUGAAGGUGUCCCUGCUCACUGCAGGGGGUUGGGCUGGUGCCUCUAUAGGUCCCUCCCAACCCAAACCAUUCAGUGAUUCUAUAUUUCCUUUUUUUUUUUUUUUUUUUUUUUUUUUGUGAUAGGCUCCCUGGCUUUCUCUCCAGAUAUAUUUGAACCUUAUUUUCCCACUUUUCAGCUGAGCUCUCUCCCCAUCACAAUGCAAAUGAACACAUUUGUACGACUUCAUCUAUCAGGAGAGCCCUAUCAUUGUCCCUCAGCUGCCCAAAAUUAAAACAAUCCAUUUCUGUUGGCUGUGGACCUUCACACCACGUGCCAGCAAGGACUGCCCUGGGGACAGGACCUCCAGCCUCAUGAACGGGACGCUUAGAGAGAGCCGUCAUUAAAAUUGCAGCAGCUUCUGCUCUUGCCUAGGCGCUGGGAGCUGGGACACGGUGGCAGCGGGAGGGAAAGGAGGAGGAGGAUGGAGAGGGCGGCCGUGCCGAGCUGCGCUAGCCUCCAAGCACGUUUUGCCCGGGAAGCCCGGGGCUGUGGAAGGUGAGCUCUUCGCCCCCGCCACGAAACUCUUGUUCGAUUUCAUUCUAUCUCAGUGAUAUAAAUCUUUGAUCUUUA